UACGUAGGGGGCAAGCGUUGUCCGGAAUCAUUGGGCGUAAAGCGCGCGUAGGCGGCUCGAUCAGUCUGCUGUAAAAGUCAAAGGCUCAACCUUUGAAUGCCGGUGGAUACUGUCGGGCUAGAGUCCGGAAGAGGCGAGUGGAAUUCCUGGUGUAGCGGUGGAAUGCGCAGAUAUCAGGAGGAACACCAACGGCGAAGGCAGCUCGCUGGGACGGUACUGACGCUGCGGCGCGAAAGCGUGGGGAGCGAACAGG
RNAcentral lists this ribosomal RNA (253 nucleotides) under uncultured bacterium. Its description in RNAcentral is "partial 16S ribosomal RNA". It matches the Rfam family "Bacterial small subunit ribosomal RNA", at positions 524 to 776 of the family's 1533-position model. The record is from RNAcentral.